Pelobates cultripes (western spadefoot toad) is the source of this 225-nucleotide non-coding RNA. NCBI's taxonomy places the organism in Eukaryota, Metazoa, Chordata, Amphibia, Anura, Pelobatidae. The record is from the annotation of a GenBank genome assembly.
CUCACACCCCCGUCGGGGAUCUCCCGGUCGGCAAAGACCCUCUGGUCUGCCGUCUACUCCGCCGCGCCCCGGCCCCCAGAUACCCUCACCUAUGGGAUGUAGGACUGGUUCUCUGUCUUUUCAGGGAUUGGCUUCCGAAUGACCGCCUCUCCCUACGCCAACUGUCCGCUAAGUGCGCUUUUCUCCUUUGCCUAGUAUCUUUCCGACGGGUUUCGGACGUUCGGG